RNAcentral lists this long non-coding RNA (296 nucleotides) under Gossypium barbadense (sea-island cotton). Its description in RNAcentral is "long non-coding RNA (GBAR_LNC005268)". Lineage: Eukaryota; Viridiplantae; Streptophyta; Magnoliopsida; Malvales; Malvaceae. The record is from RNAcentral.
AAUAAAUAACUUUUGGGAUUUCGGCUUUUAUGGCAAUCGGCUAUAGAGGUUUAGAAAAGAAUGGGAAUGAAAGAGGAGAUGAGUAGAAUUAUAAUAGCCCAAAAUUGGGUCUAGUUGGAACAGAGGUUUUGGGACCACAAAAUCCGAGAUAGAAAUAAUUAUUUUAUGAUUAUUUUGAGGUCUAUGAUAUGAUUGCAUGAUUGUGUGAAAAUUUCGUGAAGAAAUUCUAUGCAUAAAGUGCUCAAUUUGAAGUUAGGGACUAAAUUGAAUAAGUUGCAAAACUUGCAUUCUAGAAG